CCUACGGGAGGCUGCAGUGAGGAAUAUUGGUCAAUGGGCGCGAGCCUGAACCAGCCAAGUCGCGUGAGGGAAGACGGCCCUACGGGUUGUAAACCUCUUUUGCCGGGGAGCAACGGGCGCCACGUGUGGCGCCACUGAGAGUACCCGGAGAAAAAGCAUCGGCUAACUCCGUGCCAGCAGCCGCGGUAAUACGGAGGAUGCGAGCGUUAACCGGAUUUAUUGGGUUUAAAGGGUGCGUAGGCGGAGGGUUAAGGCAGUGGGCAAAUUGAGGGGCUAAACCCCUUCCCGCCAUUGAAACUGGCGCUCUUGAGUGGAAGAGAAGUAUGCGGAAUGCGUGGUGUAGCGGUGAAAUGCAUAGAUAUCACGCAGAACCCCGAUUGCGAAGGCAGCAUGCCGGCUUCCGACUGACGCUGAAGCACGAAAGCGUGGGGAUCGAACAGGAUUAGAUACCCUUGUAGUC
RNAcentral lists this ribosomal RNA (460 nucleotides) under uncultured bacterium. RNAcentral's name for it is "partial 16S ribosomal RNA". It matches the Rfam family "Bacterial small subunit ribosomal RNA", at positions 338 to 795 of the family's 1533-position model. The record is from RNAcentral.